AGAGGCUGGGAACACCAAGGGCAUGGCAGCAGCAUCUGGUGGGGUUCUGUGCUACAUUACCCCAUGGUGGAAGGGCAGAGGGCAGAGGGCAGAAGAGGAAAGGCAGAAGAGAAAGACAGCAUGGGAGACAGCAAGAAAAUGGAGGCCAAAACUUAUCCUUUUAUCAGGAAUCCACUCCCACACAUGUUUGUAAACAAUGCCAUCAGGAAUAAAAGUGUUUGAAGCUGAAGCUGGGUCUUCCAUCCAAAUGUGGAAAGCGUGCCAGAGGACUGUCUUUCCCAUUCCCGCCCCACCUGCACAGCCAUAGACAAAGCUCAGCUCCGGGAUAAGGAAUAAUGUCUACAGCUGCAGCUGCCAGAUCAAGCUGGAGUCCCUCCCUGAUCUGAUGCCAUAAAGUAGGAGCUCUCAGUCACCAUAGGAGGAAAUCACUACCUCAGGCUGCUCACUAGAACCUCUGGGAAGAAACAGAGCUCCCCACCAUAAGUCACGGCUUUGGGGUCAGAGUCUCUGGAUCCAAGCCUGGUUCUGCUACUUGAGCCUCUCUUGAGUCUCAAUUUCCUCCCUGAAUAUAGGGAUGAUAAUCCCUGUCCCAUGAGUUGCACUGGGGAAUAAAUGUGAUCAUCUAUA
This 627-nucleotide long non-coding RNA is filed under the name Homo sapiens (human). RNAcentral describes it as "long intergenic non-protein coding RNA 2250". Lineage: Eukaryota; Metazoa; Chordata; Mammalia; Primates; Hominidae. The record is from RNAcentral.